UGACGAUGUCAACGACGAGAGCCUUUCC
This 28-nucleotide small RNA is filed under the name Bombyx mori (domestic silkworm). RNAcentral describes it as "piRNA piR-bmo-1710375". The record is from RNAcentral. Lineage: Eukaryota; Metazoa; Arthropoda; Insecta; Lepidoptera; Bombycidae.